RNAcentral lists this ribosomal RNA (496 nucleotides) under uncultured bacterium. Its description in RNAcentral is "partial 16S ribosomal RNA". It matches the Rfam family "Bacterial small subunit ribosomal RNA", at positions 29 to 507 of the family's 1533-position model. The record is from RNAcentral.
AUGAACGCUGGCGGCGUGCCUAAUACAUGCAAGUCGAGCGAACAGACGAGGAGCUUGCUCCUCUGACGUUAGCGGCGGACGGGUGAGUAACACGUGGAUAACCUACCUAUAAGACUGGGAUAACUUCGGGAAACCGGAGCUAAUACCGGAUAAUAUAUUGAACCGCAUGGUUCAAUAGUGAAAGACGGUUUUGCUGUCACUUAUAGAUGGAUCCGCGCCGCAUUAGCUAGUUGGUAAGGUAACGGCUUACCAAGGCGACGAUGCGUAGCCGACCUGAGAGGGUGAUCGGCCACACUGGAACUGAGACACGGUCCAGACUCCUACGGGAGGCAGCAGUAGGGAAUCUUCCGCAAUGGGCGAAAGCCUGACGGAGCAACGCCGCGUGAGUGAUGAAGGUCUUUGGAUCGUAAAACUCUGUUAUUAGGGAAGAACAAAUGUGUAAGUAGCUAUGCACGUCUUGACGGUACCUAAUCAGAAAGCCACGGCUAACUACGUG